RNAcentral lists this transfer RNA (77 nucleotides) under Thermofilum adornatum 1505. Its description in RNAcentral is "tRNA-Asn (GTT) (tRNA-Asn-GTT-1-1)". It matches the Rfam family "tRNA". Rfam says of the family: Transfer RNA (tRNA) molecules are approximately 80 nucleotides in length. Their secondary structure includes four short double-helical elements and three loops (D, anti-codon, and T loops). RNAcentral also lists the same sequence under 2 other names. Lineage: Archaea; Thermoproteati; Thermoproteota; Thermoprotei; Thermofilales; Thermofilaceae. The record is from RNAcentral.
GCCGGGGUAGCUCAGCCAGGCGGAGCACUCGGCUGUUAACCGAGGGGUCCCGGGUUCAAAUCCCGGCCCCGGCGCCA